RNAcentral lists this long non-coding RNA (1039 nucleotides) under Gallus gallus (chicken). RNAcentral's name for it is "lncRNA (ENSGALG00010027629.1)". Lineage: Eukaryota; Metazoa; Chordata; Aves; Galliformes; Phasianidae. The record is from RNAcentral.
AUCUUUCUGGAGAUCCCUGCCUAGUAGAGGCCUUCUAAAGAAUUUACAAGCCAUUACCCAUCACAUCUAGAACAUUACUGGAGCUGUCGAGAUAAAGGAAUCAGCGUAGAAACAUUGUUCCACUGGGAAAUGUAAAAUGGCAUAAAGUUGGUCCCUCAACAGUGCAGGGACACACUGUGCUGAGGACUCUGAAUAUACAAAUGGUGUAAUAAUAGAACAUCAGGAAUUACUCUGUCAAUCAUCAGGCAUAAACAGAAGCAGACGGGAAUCAUGAAGGCCAAGCUGUCAGAUCCUUUGAGGAGCGGAAACGGAACCCACACAGCAUAUGGUGGUAGUUGGCUGUUCCCAGGGAAAGCUGUCUGGCUCUCUUAAAAUACAGACAGCCAAAGCAUUUGAGAAGUACUAAGAGGUGCUCCAGCCCUCUGAUCGUCUUUGUGACCCUCCUCUGGAUCCAUUCCAAUAGCUUCAACAGCUUCCAUAGAAGGGGUGCGAACAGUGGACUGUUGAUUAUCUACUUGGUCACUGGCUGUCUCCUUGGCUCUACCAUGGACCUUCCUGACUGUCUCUAUCACCCAGAAUUUGGAACAGUUCCAGGAUGGUAUUCUCCAAGGACAAUGGCUUAGAGGCUGUGUAAGCAAGCCUCCUCGCUCCUUCCUCCUUUCCUCAUAAACAGUCUUCCAAAAAACCCAGAGCUGGGUCCUAUAUAGCGUGCAUGGGGUUAAUCUUCUCUAGAAGGAGUGAAGCCUAAGCAGAGUUCACAUAGCCCAGUCUGUGUGAUAUGGACUAAAGACCAAGGUUUGGUGCCUGGCUUGUUUAUUGUACAUGCUAAAUAGUACAUUUAUAGUACAUAUGUUAGUUCACGGCACUGUGGUACGUGCUAAAGCUAAAUCUUAGUCCUCAGUUUGAAUCUUAAUUUCAUUACUGUUCAUGAACAAUCUUGAGUAGUGUUUCAUGUAGCCACUAAGCCUAUGGGCUUUUUAGGAUCAUUGUAAGGAGGUGAGAUCUUGUAUCACAUUUAUCUAUACUGUAAAAUGUACUU